RNAcentral lists this ribosomal RNA (610 nucleotides) under uncultured bacterium. RNAcentral's name for it is "bacterial SSU rRNA". It matches the Rfam family "Bacterial small subunit ribosomal RNA", at positions 233 to 859 of the family's 1533-position model. The record is from RNAcentral.
GCGGCCUAUCAGGUAGUUGGUGAGGUAACGGCUCACCAAGCCGACGACGGGUAGGGGGCGUGAGAGCGUGGCCCCCCACACGGGAACUGAGACACGGUCCCGACGCCUACGGGCGGCAGCAGUGAGGAAUCUUGCCCAAUGGGGGAAACCCUGAGGCAGCGACACCGCGUGCGGGAUGAAGGCCUUCGGGUCGUAAACCGCUUUUCUGGGGGACGAGUAAGGACGGUACCUCAGGAAUAAGUCUCGGCUAACUACGUGCCAGCAGCCGCGGUAAAACGUAGGAGGCGAGCGUUAUCCGGAUUUACUGGGCGUAAAGCGCGCGCAGGUGGCUUCGUGAGUCGGACAUGAAAGCUCCUGGCUUAACUGGGAGAGGCUGUUCGAUACUGCGGGGCUUGAGGUUGGGAGAGGGACGCGGAAUUCCCGGUGUAGUGGUGGAAUGCGUAGAUAUCGGGAGGAACACCAGUGGCGCAAGCGGCGUCCUGGCCCACACCUGACGCUGAGGUGCGAAAGCGUGGGUAGCAAACAGGAUUAGAUACCCUGGUAGUCCACGCUGUAAACGAUGUCAACUGGGUGUCGGUAGUUUUACACUAUCGGUGCCGAAGCUAACGCG